Helianthus annuus (common sunflower) is the source of this 277-nucleotide long non-coding RNA. RefSeq lists it as uncharacterized. The transcript is spliced from 2 exons. NCBI's taxonomy places the organism in Eukaryota, Viridiplantae, Streptophyta, Magnoliopsida, Asterales, Asteraceae. The record is from RefSeq and is a predicted model, not a curated record.
GGGUACGAGAAAAGUUAUUCAUUUGGAGAUAGACAUUUAUUUGGCCUAUUGAUGCAGAGGAAAUAUUUGAGGAGGUAUUGUUUGACAGGAUUGGGCAGCAAACUUUAAGGGCUCGGAUGUUUUCAACCCGCGCAAAAGAUUUAAAUUGAUUGCGUUUAUCUAUACUAUCGUAUAAAGCAUUUCACAAGGGUUCCAACCAAAUUUAAAUAAUUGCAACAUAUUAUGCUUAUAGUACAACAACUCAAUGAAGUUAGUAAAGGGAAUUAGUCUUUCUACA